UGCUGGGCGGCAGCUACCAUGCAGUCGAGCGGUAGCACAGAGAAGCUUGCUUCUUGGGUGACGAGCGGCGGACGGGUGAGUAAUGCAUAGGAAUCUGCCCGAUAGUGGGGGAUAACCUGGGGAAACCCAGGCUAAUACCGCAUACGUCCUACGGGAGAAAGGGGGCUCCGGCUCCCGCUAUUGGAUGAGCCUAUGUCGGAUUAGCUAGUUGGUGAGGUAAAGGCUCACCAAGGCAACGAUCCGUAGCUGGUCUGAGAGGAUGAUCAGCCACAUCGGGACUGAGACACGGCCCGAACUCCUACGGGAGGCAGCAGUGGGGAAUAUUGGACAAUGGGCGCAAGCCUGAUCCAGCCAUGCCGCGUGUGUGAAGAAGGCCCUCGGGUUGUAAAGCACUUUCAGCGAGGAAGAACGCCUAGCGGUUAAUACCCGCUAGGAAAGACAUCACUCGCAGAAGAAGCACCGGCUAACUCCGUGCCAGCAGCCGCGGUAAUACGGAGGGUGCAAGCGUUAAUCGGAAUUACUUUUUU
RNAcentral lists this ribosomal RNA (527 nucleotides) under Halomonas sp. RNAcentral's name for it is "bacterial SSU rRNA". It matches the Rfam family "Bacterial small subunit ribosomal RNA", at positions 34 to 560 of the family's 1533-position model. Lineage: Bacteria; Pseudomonadati; Pseudomonadota; Gammaproteobacteria; Oceanospirillales; Halomonadaceae. The record is from RNAcentral.